GGGGUUGUGGCUCAGCGGUGGAGCACUUGUUUAGUAUGUGGGAGGCACUGAGUUCAAUCCUCAGCACCCACA
RNAcentral lists this transfer RNA (72 nucleotides) under Marmota marmota marmota (Alpine marmot). It matches the Rfam family "tRNA". From Rfam's summary of the family: Transfer RNA (tRNA) molecules are approximately 80 nucleotides in length. Their secondary structure includes four short double-helical elements and three loops (D, anti-codon, and T loops). Further hydrogen bonds mediate the characteristic L-shaped molecular structure. tRNAs have two regions of fundamental functional importance: the anti-codon, which is responsible for specific mRNA codon recognition, and the 3' end, to which the tRNAs corresponding amino acid is attached (by aminoacyl-tRNA synthetases). tRNAs cope with the degeneracy of the genetic code in two manners: having more than one tRNA (with a specific anti-codon) for a particular amino acid; and 'wobble' base-pairing, i.e. permitting non-standard base-pairing at the 3rd anti-codon position. RNAcentral also lists the same sequence under 2 other names. Lineage: Eukaryota; Metazoa; Chordata; Mammalia; Rodentia; Sciuridae. The record is from Rfam by way of RNAcentral.